This 253-nucleotide ribosomal RNA is filed under the name uncultured bacterium. RNAcentral describes it as "partial 16S ribosomal RNA". It matches the Rfam family "Bacterial small subunit ribosomal RNA", at positions 524 to 776 of the family's 1533-position model. The record is from RNAcentral.
UACGUAGGGGGCAAGCGUUGUCCGGAAUCAUUGGGCGUAAAGAGCGUGUAGGCGGUCCGAUAAGUCGGCUGUGAAAGUCCAGGGCUCAACCCUGGGAUGCCGGUCGAUACUGUCGGACUAGAGUCCGGAAGAGGCAAGUGGAAUUCCCGGUGUAGCGGUGAAAUGCGCAGAUAUCGGGAGGAACACCAAUGGCUAAGGCAGCUUGCUGGGACGGUACUGACGCUGAGACGCGAAAGCGUGGGGAGCAAACAGG